Non-coding RNA from Pseudonaja textilis, 259 nucleotides. Lineage: Eukaryota; Metazoa; Chordata; Lepidosauria; Squamata; Elapidae. The record is from RefSeq and is a predicted model, not a curated record.
UGCUCUGUGUGAAACAUUCCCAACCACACAUGUCUUAAUUUUAUAAAUCCACUUACUCCCUAUGGCAUGCUUACCUGAUGGUAACCUGGCAUUUUCAUAUACCUCCAAACUUUGUAAAUAUUUCUGUUCCUUAUCCAUUGCUUCCUGCCAAGCAGCCUAAUCCUUAGCAGGAUACAGUUUCAGUUCAUUAUAGUUACUAGGAACUGUAUUUACUUGGCAUACAAUACUUGCCUGAUAUCUGUCUGGUGGUCAUGUUACA